GACGAACGCUGGCGGCGCGCUUAACACAUGCAAGUCGAGCGAAGCGGCGGACGGGGGAGUAACACGUGAGUAACCUGCCUUAGACAUUGGGAUAGCCUCGGGAAACCGGGAUUAAUACCAAAUGGUCUAAGAUGGACUCGCGUCCCAUUCGCUAGUUGGGAGGUAACGGCCCACCAAGGCGACGAUGGGUAGACGGCAUGUGAGGGUGAACGGCGACAUUGGAACGAGGAAACGGUCGAAACUCUACGGGAGGCAGCAGUGGGGAAUAUUGCACAAUGGAGGGAACUCGGAUGCAGCGACGCCGGGUGAACGAAGAAGGCUUGCGAGUCGUAAAGUGCUUUUAUAUGGGAAGCGGUACCAUAAGAAAAAGCCCCGGCUAACUACGUGCCAGCAGCCGCGGUAAUAC
Molecule: ribosomal RNA, 406 nt
Filed under: uncultured bacterium
Lineage: Bacteria
Description: partial 16S ribosomal RNA
Rfam family: Bacterial small subunit ribosomal RNA
Source: RNAcentral